GGAAGACUCUUUUCAUUUGUAGACGCCGUCUGCCAUACCCACACUAAAAGAUUUCCCGUCCCCUCCCCCGAUGCGCAAUUAGUAGUCUACAUGCGUUGCCUCUCCAGCUUCGAUUUGGACGGUGUCUGUCUGUCUGUACCAAGAUUUGGGCGCCCUUUUGCAGUCAGCGAUACAAGGCAAUACAAAAGCGGUCAUGACUUUUCGCACGUGCCCUGUGUUUACGAUAAUGUUGAAAGCUUCUUCUUCGAUUUAUACCGCGAAUACGAUGGCGAAAUCAAAUAAUCAUUUGCAAUGUCCAGUACAGAAAGACUAUGACUGCAAAUCAUUGCCCAAGAAAUAAAACAAAAUUGAUUGAAUUUAACUUAGGAAAACACAGCCACGGAGGUGACACAGAGAUUCUUUAUAAAUCAGUAGGCUCCAGUGAAUACUGCAGUGUACUUACAUGCAGAAGCUAUUGUUAGGGAGAAGCAAGAGAUCAUAAAUUCUGUUUAGUACACUAUAUGUUAACACAUGAGCAGUAAUCAUUUCAGUAGCUAUUUUCAUUG
Nematostella vectensis (starlet sea anemone) is the source of this 545-nucleotide long non-coding RNA. RefSeq lists it as uncharacterized. The record is from RefSeq and is a predicted model, not a curated record. NCBI's taxonomy places the organism in Eukaryota, Metazoa, Cnidaria, Anthozoa, Actiniaria, Edwardsiidae. The transcript is spliced from 2 exons.